AGGAAGUGGUCAAAGUGGUUGGGCACUGGAACAGUCACUCUAAGGAAGUGGUCACAGCACCAGGCCUGACAGAGUUCAAGAAGGGUUUGGACAACACUCUCAGAUUAACUUUUCAGCUCCUACCAUUCCUGGAUGCUUGGAUGGAGGUUUAUUCUGAAUUGAGCAGGCAUUUCUCCCUGACGUCAGUAUUUACUGGGCAUGAGCCUGUGCUCUCUGUACUGGUGGUCCCCAGGUGCUCUUCAGCACAUGAAUUGAUGAGGGAAGGAUCUGUCCUUGGCUAACCUCUGUGAGCACUGCAGAGGGGUUAACUCCAGAUUUACACCGUGCAACUGACAGUUUAAGUAGUCUCAGUUGGAGGCUUUCAACAGAAAUUCUGGUCAAAGAAAUAUGAAGAAGGAUGGCCAGAGAAGUCUUCAACUUUCAGAAGGGACACUCAUCACAGGUUUGUUUUCAUCUGAAGGAGAAUGGACUAAUUUAUAUUUUUAGGGGAAGGUACUGUCAGAAUGUAAUCUGAAAAUAGCAGUGUUACACAUCAUGAUUUCCUGAUAACUAUUCCACAGCUAUACAUGAGAAAGCAUAAGCUUCCACCUCACACUUUUGUGUGCCUCUCCCAGAUGCCUGGUGUUCAAAUACCUACUUGGUAGAUGUGCCUGUCUGGGCUGGGAGAGUUUAUUUUCCCCAGAGCAGCUGGUAUGGGGCUGUUUUGGAUUGUUGCUGAAAAUAGGAUUGACAACACAGGGAAGUUUUAGCUAUAGCUGAGCAUCUUACAAAGCAUCAAGACCUUUUCUGCCUCUCACCCCACUCCACCAGUGAGCAGGUUGAGCGUGCACAAGGACUGACCCCAGCUGACCAAGGGAUAUCUCAGACCAUAUGGCACCAUGCUCAGUACAUAAAGGUGAAAGAAGAAGAAGGAAAUGUGGGGUGAUUUUCAGAAUGAAAAAUAUUUGGCUUCCUCGCUCACAGUUACAUGUGAUGGAGCCCUGCUUUCCUGGACAUGGGUGAACAUCUGCCUGCUCAUGGGAAGUGGUGAAUGAAGUCCUUGUUCUGUUCUUCUUGUAUGCAUGGCUUUCAUAGUAUUUCUUGAACUGUCUUUAUCUCAGCCCAUGAGUUUUCUCACUUUUACCCUUCCUGUUCCCACCCCACUGUGGGGGAGUGGGUGCAUGAGGCUGAGCUGUUGGCUGGGCUAAAACCAUGAUACAGCAGAAUCAGUAAUGAAAUUCUCAAAGAGUUCAGCCUUGUUUGGCCCUCAGACAGCAAAUUUUACACAACAUUUGCACGUACUGUCAGAGGGCUGGACUGCUGGCACGGGAGAGGAGGCUUUGAUCAAUAGAGACCAAGGCUCUCUGGAACUGCCUGUGACUCCAUGAACUUCAGUGGGUGGUGUGCCCUGGCAUCCUUGUAGGUCUCAAUCUCCUUGGUCCCUGUGAAAAGAGAAUUUGAAAUGAAGUUUCUGAGGGUUUAAGCUAGAGAAGUUUCUGAAGAAAGGGGUUUUUUGUUUGUUUUGUGGGUUUUUUUGCUUUUUAAAAUUUUUUUUCUCAAGAGAAGAGGAUAUAGUCUAGAGAUUUUAAAAUAUCACUGAAAAUGAGAAUCUGUUCAGUUGUAGGGGAGUGUUAAGGGUCCCCAAGGAGCCAUACAGACCAGCAAAAGGGAGAAAAGUGUCUGGAGUAGUGAUGAAGGGAGGACAAAGCAAGCAACAAAAAUAACAAAGUAGAACUGAAGCUGUUAUACAGAAGGGAGCAGAGAGAAUUUAAAGAACAGAGAGGUAGAGGCAUAUGUCCAAAAAAUAGAAGAUUAAAAUGAGAGACAGGAAGAGUGGGAUGGGAAUGCCAAAAAGUUCAACUUCACAACAAAAACAAAAGCAAGGGUCUGAAGUGGCACAGUCUGCUCAAGGAACGACUCCUUACUGAUGCAAGCAGACCCACAGAAGCUUUUUAGGUAUUCAUAUAAGGGCUGCAGGAAUAAGCCCCAUAUUCACCAAAGGAUUUCUGAUCCAUGCUCAUUGUGUUCACACAGUCACUGCUGGGCUGGACUGCCACACGACACCCCAGCUCUGCCAUCCACUUACCUCUAUUUAGAAUCUUCCUAUAUGGUUUUCUGUUGUUCUGAUGGUCACAAAACUUAAGAGGAAGUCAAAGAAAAUUUUUUAAAAGUCUGUUAGGAGACACGGGCUUUCCUCUUCUGAGAAGUGCAUAUGAACACUUAUGUCUAGCACAGGCUGGAUUUGUCCAAAUUCUGCAGUUCUGCUAUCUGAAUCAGCAUUUUUAAGCAAGAAAAGUAGUCCAUUCAGAUGUAGUUUUUAAAUAAAUACAUUUCAUUUUAGGUUUAUAAUAGGUGUAAAUACUAGUGAUAUUUAAUUGCAGAUUUAAAACUAAAUUCCUUUUCACUUGUGUUUAAUAAACAUUCUAUAUUCUCUAUUCAGUGGAACAGGGAUUUUUUCUAGUCAGUAGUCACAUUGAGGUUUAUAGGGUCAUGUGCAUAAAUUAGGAAUUGUUGAAGAAAUAAGUGUUUAUGCAGAAUCCAUCCCAUAAAUAGCAGAGAAAAAGCAAGUAAGGUUAUUCAUGAAGGGCUGCUGAUAUAUAUACAGGGUUACUCACAAAGUUUCCUCUAGUGCUACAUUUUUAUUCAUAUAUGUCAAAAAUGCAAUGUUAUUUCUUUUUAAAAUAAAUUGGAAGCACAAGUCUGUGGUGUAUGAUUAUUUUAUUAACUGAUAAAUCAGCUGGCUCUCAAGGGUAUGGAAGAAACGUAUUUAUUUAAUUUACAAAUAAACUGUAUCCAUUCCCCACUCCCAUCCUUUGUUAGAAGUAUGCACUAAGAAAUUCCAGUGUUUCACAUUCUGGUCGCUUAAAUGUAUUUUCAAGAAGUAAAAGAAAAAAACAUAUUUUUUUUCAAAUCUCCAG
Long non-coding RNA from Passer domesticus (house sparrow), 2897 nucleotides. RefSeq lists it as uncharacterized. NCBI's taxonomy places the organism in Eukaryota, Metazoa, Chordata, Aves, Passeriformes, Passeridae. The record is from RefSeq and is a predicted model, not a curated record. The transcript has 3 exons.